UAGAACUCUCAUCUAGACUUACUCGCUAAGGAGUUGGAACGAUUAUCAGCGAAAUUUCAAGGCAAAGGAGUCCUAAAAGUAGCAUAUAGUCCAUCUAAAAAUAGAAACGUGAGUUAAUAAUGAUCAUCAUCAGCUCACUAUACGUCCC
This is a long non-coding RNA of Papilio machaon (common yellow swallowtail), 148 nucleotides long. RefSeq lists it as uncharacterized. The record is from RefSeq and is a predicted model, not a curated record. NCBI's taxonomy places the organism in Eukaryota, Metazoa, Arthropoda, Insecta, Lepidoptera, Papilionidae. The transcript is spliced from 4 exons.